Molecule: non-coding RNA, 87 nt
Organism: Pleurotus ostreatoroseus
Lineage: Eukaryota; Fungi; Basidiomycota; Agaricomycetes; Agaricales; Pleurotaceae
Source: the annotation of a GenBank genome assembly
UCCCUGGUAGUAUAUCGGUUAGUACACGCGCCUGUCAUUACGUAAUUACGAUCGCGCGAAAGCGGGGUUCGACUCCCCGCCAGGGAG